AUUGAACGCUGGCGGCAUGCCUUACACAUGCAAGUCGAACGGCAGCACGGGUGCUUGCACCUGGUGGCGAGUGGCGAACGGGUGAGUAAUACAUCGGAACGUACCUUAUCGUGGGGGAUAACGCAGCGAAAGCUGUGCUAAUACCGCAUACGCCCUGAGGGGGAAAGCGGGGGAUCGCAAGACCUCGCGCGAUUAGAGCGGCCGAUGCCUGAUUAGCUUGUUGGUGGGGUAAAAGCCCACCAAGGCGACGAUCAGUAGCUGGUCUGAGAGGACGAUGAGCCACACUGGGACUGAGAAACGGCCCAGACUCCUCCGGGGGGCAGCAGUGGGGAAUUUUGGAAAAUGGGGGCAACCCGGAUCCAGCAAUGCCGCGUGAGUGAAGAAGGCCUUCGGGUUUUAAAGCUCUUCUGUCAGGGAAGAAACACCGGCUCUAACACAGUCUGGGAAUGACGGUACCUGAAGAAUAAGCACCGGCUAACUACGUGCCAGCCGCCGCAGUAA
Molecule: ribosomal RNA, 501 nt
Filed under: uncultured bacterium
Lineage: Bacteria
Description: partial 16S ribosomal RNA
Rfam family: Bacterial small subunit ribosomal RNA
Source: RNAcentral